UACGUAGGGGGCAAGCGUUGUCCGGAAUCAUUGGGCGUAAAGCGCGUGUAGGCGGCCCGGUAAGUCCGCUGUGAAAGUCCAGGGCUCAACCCUGGGAUGCCGGUGGAUACUGUCGGGCUCGAGUCCGGAAGAGGCGAGUGGAAUUCCUGGUGUAGCGGUGAAAUGCGCAGAUAUCAGGAAGAACACCCGUGGCGAAGGCGGCUCUCUGGGACGGUACUGACGCUGAGACGCGAAAGCGUGGGGAGCGAACAGG
Molecule: ribosomal RNA, 253 nt
Filed under: uncultured bacterium
Lineage: Bacteria
Also listed under: 1 other name
Description: partial 16S ribosomal RNA
Rfam family: Bacterial small subunit ribosomal RNA
Source: RNAcentral